GACCGGCAUCGCAGACGGCCGUCGAUGUUUUCCGAUGGUUAUUUCUCGUCGACGGUUCAACGGCUGCUGAUUCACUUCCGGGACUUUCGCCAGGGCUCUCUGCAGUCUUCUUCAGCCUUUUAUCGUAAAAGAGUUAGUAAGGACUUUACUGCUGAAGAAGAUUCUGUUAUUAUUCGCAUGCUUCAGUCCGUUGCUGUUCCUCUCCUUGGAAAUAUGUGUCAUGUAUUUAUGAAUGGUCUUAAUCAUGUUCAGGUCUACGGGUUAGAGAAAUUACAUGAUGCAUUGCUUCAUAGGCCUAGGAACAAACCACUUUUAACGGUGAGCAAUCAUGUUGCUUCUGUGGAUGAUCCAUUUGUUAUUUCUUCACUACUUCCUCAGAGAGUACUUUUGGAUGCUCAGAAUUUAAGAUGGACACUUUGUGCAACUGACCGCUGUUUUCGUAAUCCUGUGACUUCUGCGUUUUUUCGAUCUGUCAAAGUAUUGCCUGUAGCGCGUGGUGAUGGAAUUUAUCAGAAGGGCAUGGAUAUG
RNAcentral lists this unclassified non-coding RNA (528 nucleotides) under Hevea brasiliensis (rubber tree). The record is from RNAcentral. Lineage: Eukaryota; Viridiplantae; Streptophyta; Magnoliopsida; Malpighiales; Euphorbiaceae.